UUUUUUUUUGUAUUAUUCUUUACACUUGUUAAAGCACUUUGUAACUUGUUUUUGAAAAUUGCUCUACAAAUAAGGAUCAUUAUUAUUAUUAUUAUUUGUGUCGGUCGGUUAUUUUGUAGGAGUUGCCCAGAAAACGGUGCAUUCUAUUGUAUCUGCCUUGACGCUUAGAUUUUGAUAAUUUGUUUCCCCUUACUUUUUUAAUCACAAACAGACUAACAAGCAGUGAAUAAUAACAACAACAAAAAAAGACACAUGCCUUUGUUGUGAGAGACCUGGGUUCAAUUUCCCACUGUGACCCAUCCACCAUUGUGUCCCGGAGCAAGACACUUAAUGUCACGAGGCCCCGGCUGUGAGCCUGUGAUUGUUAUGGAUGUCUGUCUGGUGUGCGUGUGGUGAGCGUGUCGUUUGUUUGUCUCUGCUUGGCUCUUCCUCUCUCGCUCCAGUCUGGGAGCUGGGGGCGUGUCUGCUGCGGGCUCCGCACUCACCUGAGUCCCAUCUGCAAUCAGCACACCUGACCUGCACUCACCGCUGCUUAAAGGAGAGGCCCCGCCGGAUCGUUUGAUCGCCACGCAAGACUCCCACCGCCUCAGCAACCACCCGCCUGUUAGCCUCGGUUCCGCCCGCAGCCUGGACACUCCCAGCUCACGGAUUUCCCUACACCCCGGACCUGGAGAGAGCCCUAGCCCCGAGAUCUCAGACUUCCCUUGCUGAGUCUCUUUGAAUAAACUGUCUAACUCUGA
Molecule: long non-coding RNA, 740 nt
Organism: Micropterus salmoides (largemouth bass)
Lineage: Eukaryota; Metazoa; Chordata; Actinopteri; Centrarchiformes; Centrarchidae
Exons: 2
Source: RefSeq, a predicted model, not a curated record